AUUGAGCCAAGGGGUUUGAUUAAGAGAAAGGUGUUAGGCCUAGAAUUGAAGGCUCAAGGCGUUGUUGUUGCUAUUUGCAUUCAGAAUGGGGCGUGUAUUAUCAACUUGGGUGUAUGGAAGCAAAGCCCCAUAGGCUCAGUAACGGAGGCCCAAGUGUGAAGGGAAAAGAAAUAGUGGAGCUUCAGACUCCCUUAUUAACGUUUCACUCUACACAACUAGAGUUCUCUCCUUCUCAAUCUACUCUCUUCACCGGAAAUUGUCCACCGCGUCGGAGGCGGCGGAGCAACCUAGAAUGACUAUAAAUCGCUAACACUUGAAACCUCUCACUUUCCUCUUUCUAAUUCUUGCAUCAAUCUCUUUUGAAACUUACUCAAACGUCAAAAAUACCAAAGAAGAACCAAGAACCCUAAGACAUUCAAACAUAAAUUAAAUCACCAUAAAACACUAAUCUGAACUCAAACCUUAGGGCUUUGGUUCGCCUAUUCAAGCACUACAUUGUGGUAACAAAAUUGGAGCAAAGAAGUGAAGAUUCGAAGGACCUACCUACAAGGUGUAUGCUUGGAUGUUAGAGCGCUUGAAAUUGAAGAUGAAGAUGAAAAUACAAGAUAAUAUGAUCCAUGGCUAGUGUAACUAUGGUAGGAUGAGACUUGGUUUAGCAUAGCGCAUGAAGGCAUGUCACAUAAAGUUGGCAUGGCAUGGAGGCAUAACACCAAGGCAUGAAGAAGUUUGAAGUCGUUGAAGACUUGGAGGUACAAAGAUCAGAGAUUUUGGGGAGAAUGACCAAAGUAACCUAGGGUUUAGGAUUAGUUUGACUUUGGUCACCUAUUUAACCAAAAAGUCAAUAGCUGACCAAAAGUCAACAGUUGACCAAAAGUCAACAGUUGACCAAAAGUCAACUUUAGGUCAAAUGUGUUUUUUUGUAGAAUUUUCUUUUGGACUCUUUUGUAAUAUAUACUUUAAAGGUUUGUAAUGAAAAUGAUCCUUUGAAUGGAAA
Long non-coding RNA from Lathyrus oleraceus (garden pea), 994 nucleotides. RefSeq lists it as uncharacterized. The transcript is spliced from 2 exons. Lineage: Eukaryota; Viridiplantae; Streptophyta; Magnoliopsida; Fabales; Fabaceae. The record is from RefSeq and is a predicted model, not a curated record.